Molecule: transfer-messenger RNA, 211 nt
Filed under: Mixta calida
Lineage: Bacteria; Pseudomonadati; Pseudomonadota; Gammaproteobacteria; Enterobacterales; Erwiniaceae
Description: partial transfer-messenger RNA
Rfam family: transfer-messenger RNA
About the family: Bacterial tmRNA, also known as 10Sa RNA or SsrA, is named for its dual tRNA and mRNA-like properties. Its role is to liberate the mRNA from a stalled ribosome.
Source: RNAcentral
GGGGCUGAUUCUGGAUUCGACGGGAUUCGCGAAACCCAAGGUGCAUGCCGAGGGGCGGUUUGCCUCGUUAAAAGCCGCAAAAAAAUAGUCGCAAACGACGAAAACUACGCUUUAGCAGCUUAAUAACCUGCUUAGAGCCCUCUCUCCCUAGCCUCCGCUCUUAGGACGGGGAUCAAGAGAGGUCAAACCCAAAAGAGAUCGCGUGGAUGCC